This 103-nucleotide small nuclear RNA is filed under the name Musa acuminata subsp. malaccensis (wild Malaysian banana). The record is from RNAcentral. Lineage: Eukaryota; Viridiplantae; Streptophyta; Magnoliopsida; Zingiberales; Musaceae.
GUCUGUUUGGAUACAUCUAAUAAAAUUGGAAUGAUACAAAGAAGAUUAGCAUGACCCCUGCUCAAGGAUGACACACACAAAUUGAGAAAUGUUUCUCGAUAAA